GGGGCCCAGAUGCUUGAUCGAAAGAAAAAUAAAAAGAUCCGAGCACGUAUGGUCAAAAUCUAUCUUGUCUUUACCACGAGUCAUUUUCCUUGAGGGGGCGGAGCGUAUACGAAAUGAAGCAGCAGCUAGCACGCUAAGAUCAACCACUUGGAGAAGGUGAAGCCUUUUAAGUGUGGGUGGUGAAGAAAAAUGGUAAGGAUUCUUAAUUUUCCAAUGGACAUGAUCUUCUUGUUCAGCCAAAUUAAUAUUGCGCUCAUAGUGCUUAUGUGCAAUAUGGGACCGAUAUCAUCAAGAGCACAGCCACAGAACAUGACUCUUCCACAUGAUGAGGGUAGGCUGCUGCUGCGGCUGCUGCUUUCUAAAUGUAGUUUUUGUUUUUUUUUAAAAAAUAAAUAAAUUAGAAGGAACAUUUGAUGGGAUUUUUGCUUUAUGCGGGUGUAAUGGCAGUUGAAGCUCUUCGUGAAAUAGCUGCACAACUGCAUAAAAAGGACUGGAAUUUCAGCGACCCGUGUAGCAAUGUUCCAACUUUCUCAACCCCACAUACAGAUCAGUACAACAACACUCUCUUCUGCAAUUGCUCCUUCCCUGGCAAUGUGUGCCAUGUCCAAAGCAUGUAUGCAUAUAUUUUUGCCAUUUGUAUGCUUUAAAUUCUUGCAGCACCGGUUCAUUCAUAAAUUCAUUUUCCUAAUUAAAUAUGAUGGUUGCUGGUUACUGUUUGGAGUGAUUAGUCAAGAAUCAACCUUUGAUUUUUUGGAUCCUUGUUGUGCAGUUUUCUUAUGGGGCAGGAACUGGAUGGUGUGCUUCCACCAGCACUGGUGAAGCUACCUUACAUUAAGCAACUGUAUGAAGAGCAGAGAUUUUCAAUAACUGCUUUAGCUUUUACCAUCUCAAAUCUAUUGGUUUUUAUCCUAAUUAAUAGGACUCUUUCUUCUUUGCUCAUAGUAAUCUGGACCAGAAUUACCUUAGUGGUCCGAUACCAAGCAAAUGGACUUCUACGAAGUUGGAAUUUCUGUAAGUGGCAUCUACACUCAUGUUUGAGGUUGUCAAUUAGUAGUUUUCGUGCCAAUGAUUGAACUAAUGGAAUGUACAUAGUGCAGGGCUCUCAGCGUGAACAAAUUAUCAGGACCAAUCCCUAGCUAUUUGGGAAACAUAGUUACUCUCCAAGCUUUGUAUGCUUUCGAUCUUUCUCACUUGUUGUUUAUCUCAUUUACAUUUACUUUUGUACCAAUUGGUUUGGUUGUGAACUUGAAGUGACUAUCUUUCAGGGGCUUGGAAAGCAACUUAUUUUCUGGAACCAUUCCUCCGGAGCUGGGGAAGUUGAUUAACAUGGAGAGUCUGUCAGUGGGAUUUUUCUUUUUCCAAUGUUCAUAGUUUGACAUUCUUUGAUUUUCAUAACCAAGUUGAACAUAACUAGUGACAAGGUUUGACAUGCCAUGACUAAUUAACUACAGCUAUCUUCGCGCUAAUAAUCUCACUGGAGAGUUGCCUGUGUCUCUCACUAAUAUGACGAAAUUAAAAAAACUGUAAGUGAUUUUUACUGUAUUUUACCUAAUUAAGAUGUUUCGAGUUCAGGUUCAUGACAUUCCUUUUUCUUUUCUUUUUUUUCUUUUGGGUGGGGUGGUUCAAAAUAUUCUGCAGUUGGAUUGGCAGUAACAACUUCACUGGGAAAAUACCGAACUAUUUUCUUAGUUGGAAAGAGCUUGAGAUGUUGUAAGAGAUCUUUUCUAGCAUGCAUCUUAUAUCUCUGUCAUCUUCAAGUAUCUUCAGUUAAAAUAUAAAUCCUUUUCAAAUGUGUUGCUUACAGAGAGAUGCAAGGGAGUGGUCUUGAAGGGCCCAUACCUCCUAGCCUUUCUGCAUUAACUAAACUGUCAUACCUGUGAGUCUUGGCUUCUAAGUUCUCAAUUAUUUUAAGUUUCAGAUUUUUUGCAUUCUCUUUUGAGAUAUCAUUGCUGAAGAGACUUGUAUUCCUAAUAGUUAUUUGAAGUGAUCUUUUGCAGAUCGAUUAGUGACUUAAGCGGUGAGAGUUCAGAUUUUCCUAACUUGUCAAAUAUGAAAGACAUGCAGACUUUGUGAGCCAUCUUUAUGGUUUUAGACUUUUAGUAUCCUUUCUGAUUAGAAUAACCUACAAGUAUAUAACAUUUAUUUUCUUAUAUGGGUUGCUUCAUAUUGCAGGAUGUUAAGGAGCUGCAAUAUAAGAGGAACAAUCCCUGAAUAUAUCUCUAAUAUGACAAGUCUGGAACUUUUGUAAUACUUCUGUUUAUUCAUUCUCUGUACUUUUGCUUGAGCUUACAUAUAUGUGAAAAGCUCAAAAGUGCUAAAAUUGUUGAAUGAUUGUAGAUCCAAAUGUAAAAUUUGGGAAAGCCUUACUACUAUUACAAUUUAAUUACUAUGUGGUGGAAAACAAAAUUUGGCCUCAGUAUUUAUCAUUUGCUUUUUCAAUUUACUGAAGUGUCAUUUGAUUAAAAAAAAAAAAUUCUGUACUGUAUUCCCAGCAUCACGAGUACAUAACUUCGGAUUACCCCCAAACCUAUUUCUUUUGCAGGGAUCUUAGCUUCAACAGAUUGAAAGGGAACAUUCCAAAUCUUGUGGAUACACGGAGAUUGGCCACAAUGUAAGUCAAAUUUAUAUGGGUAGCUAUAUAGCUCACAUAAUGUGUAACCUUAAGAAACAUUGAUACAAAUAAUUUUUUAUUCACAUGUAAACAUAUUGCUCAAUGAUCAGAUAUCUGACAAGUAACUUGCUUACUGGGCUUCCGGAGUGGAUCAAAUAUAGAGAUAGUCGCUAGUAUGUUUCUUCCUCCUAAAUCUUACUUAUUUAUGGUUAGAUUUCUGUUUAUAUCCAUCAUUUACUCAGAUUACUCAGAUUGUAUGUAUACCACUAGCACGCAUGUAGUGUGCAUACCUACAAGUUUAUUGCAACCUUUCCUCAUUAAUUUGUGUCUGUGCUUCUGAGGCUUCAACAGAUAAAUGUCUAUGAUUAAGAAUAUAGUGACUUGGUAGACAGAUUACAACGCUACACGAAAGAUAAGGCGAAUUACACAAUGGAUAAGGUUAUGUAUACAAGUACUUUUUGGCUGAAGGUUCGUGAUUAUAAGAAGGCUGGGGUAUUGUAUUGAUGAUGAGUGGUUAAGUCCAAAAUUUUCUAUCUUGCUGGUGUCUUUGAAAUGUUGAAUAAUUUCCUCUCUGUUCUGCGCAAAUUCAGUCACUCAUGUAACAUCCCACAUCGACCAAUGGAGAGGGGGUGAUGUGCCUUAUAUGUACAUGCCCGCCUCCAUCUAGCACGAGGCCUUUUGAGAGCUCACUGGCUUCGGAGCCAUGGGAACUCAGAAGUUAAUUCAUGUUACAAAUUUUACCAAAAUAGUCUGAUAUUCUUUUUUCUUGGAAUCUCUGUUAAUAGAGAACUUUAAAUUUGCAUGCAGCAUAAUAGAUCUUUCCUACAAUAACUUUUCAGAGAACUCUGUCCCAACUACAUGUCGAGACAACUUGUAAGAUUAAAUCUUUUUUUCUUCUAUAUCUUCUUCUUUUCAUUUACUUUGCUUGAGAUUUUCAUAUUUUGCGCUCUUUGGCUAUCUAAAUAUUUGAAAGUAACUAGGUUGUUGUUUUCAUCAGUAAUGUGUUCAAAAGUUUUUCCAGGCAGAACAACUCGUAAGCUUCAAACUCAAUGAGUUCCACAGGGAGUUUAUUCAUUUUUCCUCAUUCAUUGUUCGUAUGCUAAUUAUGCUUUUUUUGUAUAUAUAUCAAUGUAGGAUUCUUAGCCAUUGCCUCAAUCCAUGUUCAAAAGGUAACUAAAUCUGUCGUAGAAUAUCUCAAGUGUAUGUUUCUGUUUUCACAUACAAUGUUGUUUUGAGUCCAUUUGUCAUCUACCUUUUGUAUGCUGUUUUUUCUCUAUAGAGCAGUAUUCGGUGCAUAUAAAUUGUGGUGGAAAACAAGCCACCAUUGGAAGCAUCAAAUAUGAUGGUGAUGAAGCUUCAGGAGGUGGAGCAAAGUUUUUUUAUGACACAGGGAACUGGGGAUUUAGUAGCACUGGUGAUUUUGGGCUUAAGAAUUAUGACCAAGAGUAUAUAGCAAGAAAUAGCUCCAUACUCAAUAUGACAAACUCUGAAUUGUACAGUACAGCCCGAAUAUCUCCUCUUUCUCUCACAUAUUAUGCCCGUUGCUUAGCAAAUGGAAAUUACACUGUGAAACUACACUUUGCUGAAAUAGUUUUCAGAAACAACAGGUCUUAUUACGGCGUUGGAAGACGAAUUUUUGAUGUUUAUAUCCAGGUAGUCAUCCUUUUAUGUUCACCAUAAAUGAGAUGAAGCAUAAAUAACAAUUCUCCAUGUUACUUAAUUUUUAUUUUUUAAGCAUUUGGAUAAACUGAACUAUUCUCCAUAUUUUCUCUAAAAUCUCAACCACCUAUCAACAUAGGCUUCCUUCCUCCAAUGUUCUUAACAAUUUUCUUAAUCACUCCCUUUCGCUCUUAGUUUUUAACUUGAAUGAUUAAGCAUAGUAAUUAUUACAGGAAAAACUGGUAUUGAAGGAUUUUAAUAUUCAAAAAGAAGCACAAGGAGUUGAUAAGGAAGUGAUAAAGGUAUUUAAAGCAGUUGUCAAUGUUAUGACUUUAGAGAUCCGCUUUCAUUGGGCUGGGAAAGGGACAACUAAUGCUCCGAAAAGAGGAAUAUAUGGUUCUCUUAUAUCUGCUAUCUCGGUGGAGUCUGGUAGGUAAUUUAAGUAGUAAGUUUUCUCUUUAUUUUGACUGCCAUCUUGUUCAUCACUGUCCUUGGCUCUGCUUUCACUUCUAGAUUUCAAACCGCCUGAUGAUAGCAAAAAGAAGAUAUUCAUUGUGGUUGGAGCUGUUUCAGUGUUGUGUCUUAUUUUCAUGACUAUUGGCAUUCUUUGGUUGAGAUGCUGCUUCGGAGGCAGAGCAUCUACUAGGGAACAAGGUACUAUGAAUACCGUGCAAAAAAGGAAAUAAGACUUAGCAAUUUAUGUCAUGUCAUGUCCAUAUGGAAAUCUGCAAGAAUAAAUGUUUCUUGUAGUUGCUUGAUUUUUCAGUGUUAUUCUUUUCCAAUGUUGUCUGAUAAGCCAAAAGGCCCUCAAAUUCUCAGUGAAAAUCAGUUCAAUAUGCUAACCUCUUGUCACAUGAACAGAUCUGAGAGGAUUAGAUCUGCAAACUGGUUUCUUUAGAUUCAAACAAAUCAAAGCUGCCACUAACAACUUUGAUGCUGCAAACAAGCUUGGGGAAGGUGGCUUUGGAGCUGUUUACAAGGUAUUCUACCACUCCUUUUUGUUUCCCUAUGUAAGAACUUUUCUUUUGUUUUUGUUUUUGUUUUUAAUGCUUUGAUCUCUCACCCUUAUAGAGUAUUAUGGAUGACCUACAUUCCUCAAAAGUAUUAUAUUUCAAAUUGCAGGGCGAAUUAUUAGAUGGCACUAUUAUUGCAGUUAAGCAACUUUCUUCAAAAUCAAAGCAAGGAAAUCGCGAAUUUGUGAAUGAAAUAGGCAUGAUUUCUGCUUUACAACAUCCAAAUCUUGUGAAAUUGUAUGGAUGUUGCAUUGAAGGAAAUCAAUUAUUGUUGGUAUACGAAUACAUGGCCAACAAUAGCCUUAUACUUUGUUUGGUAAGCUGGACAAUCUAGAAGUGGAAUAUACACUUGUAUUAUAAAUAGUUUUUCAUGAGUCUCCUUAGUGUUUUUUGUUAAAUUCAGGUCCAGAGGAAGGCCUAAAGAAAUUGGACUGGCGUACAAGGCAGAAAAUAUGUGUUGGCAUUGCAAGAGGUCUGGCUUAUCUGCAUGAGGAGUCAGCACUGAAAAUUGUUCAUAGAGACAUCAAAACAACCAAUAUAUUGCUUGACGAGGACCUUAACCCUAAGAUAUCUGACUUUGGUUUGGCUAAGCUGGACGAAGAGGAGAAGACCCAUAUCAGCACCAGAGUUGCUGGCACUAUGUGAGCAGCCCUUCUUUUUUUUUUUUUUUCUCUCUCUUUCAUUCAUUGUGGUUUCUGUUUUGUUCUUUUGCUUCUCUUAGUUUCUCUCAUCAAACGAUGAAGUUUUGAAACAGAUGACAGAGCUCUUAGUUUAGAUAACAUGAAUGCUUUGAAGGAGAAACUCAUGGAGUAGUUGUUACUGUGCAGAGGAUACAUGGCGCCGGAGUAUGCAUUGUGGGGUUAUUUAACUGAUAAAGCAGAUGUUUACAGUUUUGGCGUUGUUGCAUUGGAACUCCUAUCUGGGAAAAACAACAUCAAAUAUCGGCCGAAUGAGAAUUUUGUAUGCCUUUUGGAUUGGGUAAGAUCUUCAUCACAUUCGUUUAGCAUGCAGAAGUACAAGUGGAAACAGGUUGCUUUUCUUAUUGAAAUAUUUUCAUAUCGUACUCUCUCCAUUUGUUGUCAAUGCUGCAGGCCCUUGUUUUGCAACAAAAAGGAAAUUUGAUGGAGCUGGUGGAUCCAAAGUUGGGGUCUCAGUUCAAAAAGGAAGAGGCAAUGAGAAUGAUUAAGGUAGCUCUACUAUGCGCCAAUCCAUCACCGGCACUAAGACCUACAAUGUCUGCGGUUGUGAGCAUGCUUGAAGGGCAAACUAUUGUUCAUGAGGUGAAGAUAAACCCGAGUAUUUAUGGUGAUGAAUUGGGGUUGAAGGCCUUCACAGAGGACUCUGAUAUUGAUCACAGCUCCUAUGAUGAGACUCGAAGCCUCAUUUAUUCAUCCAAUGAAAAAUUUGCAGCCUCUACCUCAUCGUCUGUUUAGGAUGUCUACGCAGUUAGUCUUGAUUCUCAAUAUUUCUGAGUGCCUUGCCUCACAAAGCAGCUACUGGUACCAAAAUCAAAAUGUGUGACUUUACUAAACAACAAUUGCAAGAAAAUCUAGGACAAUAGAGACUGUAUAAAGUUACAUUAUCUGAUUCAAUGGAAAUCAUUCAGGCAAAUCUCUUUCUUCCCUAUUUUACAGCUUUCAAAUGAGCUAGAUUAACAUUUGUUGCAGUAUGGAGGACUAAAGAAUGUUGCAGAUAUGAAGAAGCAGCCCUUCUAUAUGUUUCUUCAUUAUACUUACCUUCUACAUUCACUUGUUCUUGGAGCUUUACUGUAUGCCGUGGGUGGACUUCCACUGUUUAUUUGGGGAAUGGUACGUAAGAAUAAUAUGGCUGGCUUUUCCCUAUCCAUGCUUUCUUUUUUAAAGAAGUGCCCUUAUAUUUUUCAUCCACGUCCCUUCACUAAAACCAUGGAUGUUGGCAGCCAUUCAUCCUAGUCUGCCAAUCACUCGUCAUCUAUCCUUAAUAUUUCUCAAUUAUUGGCUAAUGUGCUGCAUUCUAGAUCUAGGGAGAUAUCUCUAAUUGGAGAUAUAGAAUAUAGUUAGAUGGUAAUCUUAUGUUGCAAAACCUAUGAAUUUGGAUCAUUGAUCAUAUUUCUUAAAUGUGUUGUCCACUCCAGAUUAAGUCCGGCGACAUAAACAUAUUUUUGACACCAUAAGUUUGACAAUUACCCCAUAUAAGACAUCCUUCAUAUAUGAUGAAUUAUGACUGAUGACUACUACACGCAGUUUAAAUUUUCAUUUACCACAUGUACACACAUGCUCUUGUUGUAACUACGUAUAUAGCAUGCAUCUAGCAAAGCUAUAAACAGACAGAUCAUGGCAUUUCCCUUUCAUAGAAAAUCCUGAAGUUUGAAUUAUAUACCUUGUGGUGAUCCAUUUAAUGUAGGGCGUGAGGGUGGUGUGUGGUUUCCACUGCACCUUGUUAGUAAAUUCUGCUGGCCACAUAUGGGGAAAGCAUGGAUGGAAUCCAGGAACAAUUGGUAUUCUAGCUAUCCUCGCUCUAGCUAGCUCUAACAUAUAGUAAAUGUUAUAGAUGCAUUUAAUUUCAAUUGUAUAACUUGAAUUAGGUGGUUGGCAUUUCUUGCACUUGGAGAAGGUUGGCACAAUAAUCACCAUGCUUUUGAGUACUAGGCUCGGCAAGGUCUGAAAUGGUGGCAAAUUGACUUUACUUGGUACGUGAUAAGAUUGCUUGAGGCUAUUGGACUAGCAACAGAUGUGAAAAUGCCAACCGAUCUUCAUAAGCAACGGAAAGCUUAAAUACUAGACUAGUCAUGGAUAGUCAAAAUUAGGCUUUAUUUAAACACUGAUCUGUUUACUAUAUGAUGAUGGAUAUAUAGUUCCAAAUCCCACACACGCUUUUGAGAAUUGUGGUUAAUAUUCUGUGUACAUGGUGUAUGAACCGAAGGAAAAAAAAAAAAGUAUUCGUCUACUUAUUUAAUCACAAAAUCUAAAAUAAAUUAACCACAAUUCGAUAUUUUUUUUCAUUGUGGCCCUGACGAGAAUCUGAUUUUGGCGCCUUCCUCUGUUCAGUUGGUUAUAAAAAUAAAAAACUGUUAUAAAACUGGAGAGAAAUUGAUGAGAGAAAAGAGAUUGAGGAAACAGAGGAAAAACCUCUGCAAUUGAUUCAUUAUUUCCGUCUGUCUUUCUAACAUUUAAUAGGAAAAACUUUCUUCCAACAUGUGGGCCCCCUUCCAACAUGUGGGCUCCACACUUGAUUAUUUACAACACUCCCCCUUGGAGACCACAACUGAUACGGAAUAUGUCUCGUUAAAAACCUUGCCAGUAAAAACCCAGUGGGACAAAAACUGGUCGAAGGAAAAAAGAGUACAUAACCAUGCGUAAAAUAAAAUUCUGUGUAUAUGGACAUGCGUGCGACACUGCCUCGUUAAAACCUUGCCAGGAAAAACCCAGUGGGAUAAAAACCUGGACGAAGGAAAAAGAGUACAGUGUGGAAAGGUCUGUAUUGAUGGCACGCUCCCCCUGAUGCUUGGCAGAAUAUCUUGAAGCCAUACUGUUGAUCAUCUGUCUGAAUAUCAUAGUUGACACUGCUUCUGUGAGUCAAUCUUUGAGCGACACUGCCUCGUUAAAACCUUAUCAGGAAAAACCCAGUGGGAUAAAAACCUGAUGAAGGAAAAAGAGUACAGUGUAUGAAAGUCUUUAUGAAUACCAUGCUCCCCCUGAUGAAUAUCUCCCCCUGAAAACUUCAUGACUAACUGUUUCCAGUAAGCGACCAUAGAGAUUUCCAGAGUCCGCAUAUCUAAUAACACUUGGGCUAUUUAUAAUUUCACUCAAAAAAUAUGCCCGUAUAUGGUGUUAUGCUUAGAUAGCAUCAAAUAUGCCUCACAUCAUCCAAAAUGAUGGAGUUGAGCUCUAUCUGGAAAAUACGAUGUCCGGUCCAAUAUACUUCCGGAAAAUCCUUCAAGUGUCCAACGGAUAAUCCUCAUAAAAAUGCUUCAAUACUUUCUUAGUAUAAGCAAUAAUCUCGUUGGCAUAAUGCUCGAUCUUUCAGUCGAGACAAAUAUUUCUGGAACUCUUGAGAAGUUUUAAUGUGUUUGCAAACAUAUUAAUGUACUCACUGAGGCAAUUUAUGCAUAUUAGUAUUGAGUACGGAUUUUGUGCUUCAGGCACAUGUCAUUCAGGGACUUGCUUCAUGCAAUUUCAAUCCUUUCAAGGAUUUUGUUUAAAGGGAUUAAACUUUAUGACACAUUAUAUAGCUUUAACCCAGCUAUUUAUACAUCUUUAGGGAAUCACUUCAGGUGAUAUGCUUUGUGCAUUUAAUAACCCUUAAAGAUAACAUGUUGGUCUCCGUAAAUGUGCAAUAAGGGGGGGCACAAUUGAAUCUGUAGAUAUGGAGAAAACCCAACAUUCCUUGUUUAUGCCAGAAACAUUGUGUCAUACAAAGUAGGUAUAUUCCCUUUUAUUCCGAACACCCAAGUAUAACUUUCAGUAUUAACAAUUUUGGGGUUCGUACUGUGGGUUUAUUCUUUCACGUUCAUUCUCAUCUAUAAUGGAAUUGCCUCAUUUCAUUUUGGCCAAUGAUAUUGUCGACAUUUAAUAAUUGAACGUGGUUCCAAUCAACACAGCCCAUUGAUGAUUUGAGUAGCUACUCCAAAAUCAAAAUUUGUCAUUCAUCAAUUCAUGAUCCCACCAUUCUCAUGUGCAUGCGCAUACAUCAAUUAUAAGCAUUUCUUUGCUUUUGGGUACCCAAGCCACUGUAUGGGGCUUUUAUUAUGUGAGAAUGUGGAUUAUAACCUCCAAUGGAGCGUUAUUUUAUAGUAGGGCGUGGAUAAUCUCCAUUUAGGGAGUUGGAACAUUUAGAACCCAUAUAUCUGUCAUGCUGCAGGCAUGCUACAGAUUAAUAUAUAUACAUGUCAAUUAAUUUCUGGGACUUUAACCCAUACAAUUUGCAACGCAUUAGGCGUGCACAAUAUCAAUAUUGACAUGUCAAAGGAUUGUCCUUUCGGGACUUCAAUCCACAUCAUUUGCUACGCAACAGGCGUGCAUCAUAUUGAUCACUGCUAUACCCAUAUUCUGUUCUUAUGGGACUUUAAUCUGUGCAGUGUAUUAUCAAUGUAUCCAACUUACAAUUUGUAAAAUUUGCAUUAAUAAUUCAUGGAUACAUACAAGCCAUUCUUUUGGAACGGACUUAUCUCCCCAUUUGGUUACCUUUCAAGAUAAUAUAUCAAAUAAGUAUAUAAGCAUAAAAUAACACAAGUAUUGCUUACAUCCUUAGGUGGGAGAAACUUUUCUCAAGUAUCAUUCAAGCUCGUAUCGGCCCAGUAAAUGUAGUGCUUGAUGAUCUAGUUAUAUCCUGCAAAAGCAAAAAUCACAAUUCUUCUCCCUUAUGAACAGAGAGUUAUAAAAGAAAGAAAAGAUACAAAUAUUGUGAUAUUGAUUGCAAGGUAAGGUAAGCAAUCAGGGAAGGAAGCUGGUGGGAGCAGACAAGCAGCUCAUCAAUCAAGGAAGGAAGCUGGUGGGAGCAGAAAACAAGCUCUCAAUUCACCUAGUCUAGAAGGACCUCAGGAGAUUAGAGCACAAGGCCGCCUUCACAAUUCCCUGAUCUUGCAGAAACAUGAUCAGGGAUAGUCUUGCUUCCUGAAUGGAUGAUCAGAGAUAGUCUUGCUUCUCAGGCAUAUUAAGUGCUUAAUGAUAAGAAAAACAAGUAGAUAUAGCAUCAUUUUGUAUGGGAAAACUGGAUGUCUUCUACAAAGAAAAUUUCGUUAGUAACACAUUUAUACACAAAUACAAUGAAUAGGUAGAACGGUGAAUUUCAAAUUAACCAUAGGAAAAUUGCGAGAUUCUCGGGAUACUUUUGAAAAAGUAGCUCCGUGAAAUCCGUAAAGCAAGAUCGGCUUUGAAAAUAAUACUUGAAAACGCCGAAAGUGCCGACAGGCAUUAUCAGAGGCCACCUGAAGUUUUGGACUCUUGCGAAAGAAAAAGAUAAUGUGGGGAUUCGAGAAGAUAUUGGAAUCCUGAAAAGUUGCCACAUUUUCGUCUAUAGAUAUUGCCUUCGCAAAACUUAAUUGAGCAACUGCGUUUCAACUCAACUUCCUUCAGAGGCUUCCAGAACAUAAUGUAAUUUUAUAGAUUUUACAGGGCCUGCACCUUCAUUGCAGGUGGAAAAAUCUAUCUGUUGUAUGUUCAUUUGCUGUUAUAAUAAUUGCACAUGUUCUUAAACUUGCAUCUGGUUUUUACGUCUUUUCAAAAUGACGGUUUGGAACCUUGUGCCUUAUAGGAUCAAAUAACCACAUCAAAUCUCUCAUAUUUCCAUGCAUGUGAGCCCAGAAUUUUUGGUCUGGGUUAAACCCAAACUCAUAAUUUAUUCGCCAUUUUCAAAUGGACAUGAAAUAUGAAUUGAGUAAAAGCCACGAUAAUAUCUCAAUAUAGUAGUGAGGAACAUUAACUACUAUAUACCCACAACUUCAAGUUUUAGGAUCUCUCAUAUAUUUGGAUCCAUGGGCUUCCGGCCCAGAUAUAACAAAAUAUGUGGGGAGCCUCAAUUCAUCAUUUGAAGUUUAUACUGAUAUUAUCCAUUUCACGGUGUAUUCUUAACAACCGGAAUUCACAAAAUAUAUUUCUUCCUUGAGGUGUCGAUUAUAACAAAAUCGAACUUUAUUAAAUUCAUCAUUCUCUUAUGCCAAGAAAAUUUGUGGUGUACCACAAUUUGCAAUAAUACCUCAAAGGUUGUCCAUUUAAUUGUUGGAACUUCAGGUUCUCAAAACUUUUAAAUUUUGAACUUCAUGCCAAAAUCACAUAUUCUCAUAGUAUGGACAUUCUUACAAUUUUCUGUACAUAUUUCGGGACUUCAGGCCCUUACAUAAUUGUCCAUAUUUUGAGGAACUUCUGGCAUCUCAUUUAAUUGCUCAUCCAUGAGUGUAAGGAACUGCAGGUUCCCUUUUGUAUAUAGUGACGGUUUACCCAAAAUGGUUAAUAUUUAUGCAUACGUCACUAUUCAUGUGAAUAGUACUAUUCAUCAAUUCAUGAAUACAUAUCUAUUCAUAUGUACAGUACAUUUGCCAGUACAGUUCUUAUCCAUAUGUACGGCACUAUGAACCAAUACGGCACUAUUACAUCAUUAAGGAACCCCAGGUCCUUAUUCACAUGUCAGGGAUCAAGGACCCUUAAGUCCGAUCACAUGUUUACAAAUAUAGUACCGGAGAGACUGCCAGCUCUCAUAUCAAUAUCAUCAUCAAGGAUCUUCAAGUCCUGAUGUAAAUGUAUGAUGAGGAUCAAGGAACUUCUGGUCCUGAUCUGUAUACUGUAAAAACUCAUCAUACAACACAAUUAAUCCAUAAAAUAAAUUUACUGUUAAAUAAAUUACUUGUAUGGACGUUAAUCCCGCACCAUACUUUAAAUGUGCGGUAAAGUAAAUUCAUAAAUUAAAUUGAUGUAUGGACGCACCAUACUUUAAAUGCGGUAAAGUAAACGUGCUUGUAUGGGCACUAAUUCUGCUCCAUACAUUUAAAUGACAGUAAAAGCGUGGACGAUAAACCCGCACCACCCUUUAAAGUAAAUUUACGAUAAAAUAAAUGUGCUUGUAUGGGCACUAAUUCUGCUCCAUACAUUUAAAUGACAGUAAAGCAGUAAAGGCGUGGACGAUAAACCCGCACCACCCUUUAAAGUAAAUUUACGAUAAAGUAAAUGUGCUUGUAUGGGUAAUAAACCUACACCAUACAAUAAAUAAAAUAAUUGCGGAAUGAAUAAAGUAAAGACAAUUAUUUGUGGGUUCAUAUCAACACCACAAUCAAAUAAUAUAGUAGAUAAUAUUAUUAUCGUUUGUAGAAGGCAUCAUAAUUGUCUUUUUGAAAUCAAAUGCUUUCCACCUGUAAUUUGUACACCUGCACUUAUAUUAAUAGUAUAGAUUAAUAAUAAAAUAAUUGACAAAGGAGCUUACCCUUUCGGUGUUGUUUCUCAUCAAAAGAUUCCUUAGCACUUUCCGUCAGUGGCUAAGAAAAUUUUGUGGACGAGAACAAGGGUGCUGUGCCAAAAAUUUCAGCACCAAAAGCUAUGCUUUCUCUUCUAUGAUUUUGGAAUGGGUCCCAUUCCUUCAUCACUAAAGCCACCAACGUUGGCUGCUUUGGUUAAUGGCAUAUGAAGUUGUGUUGUCAAGUAGCUAAUCAUAUUAGCAUUGAGACCCACCACAGCCAACUUUUCACAAAUCUCAUUAGCAAAGAUGAAGGGCAUGGUGACCAAGCCUCCCUUUUUCCUUGCAACAUGGUUGCCUUUCUCCUCCAUCUUUUCCAUCUGCUUUCUCCUUCUCCUUCCUCUGUUAGCCUCAUGUGCAGAACUAAAACAGGUCUACAUAGUGUACUUUGGUGAGCACAGUGGAGAAAAAGCUCAUUCAUUGCGGACAGCGAGGUUGAGGAGAGCGAGGAGAGAGACUUGGUGUGCAUCUGGGUUAGGAGAGCACCAUCAAAGGGACCCGUGCAAACGGGACCUGCUGUGCCUGCAAGGAAACCACCAUGGAAGAAGGAGUUGCAUUUGUUCUCAAGAAGAGCUCUCUGUGGCUUGCCUCAUCUUCACCUGGAUCAUUUUUGGGCAGCUAGACUCGUAGAAGGACCACGAAAGCCCCUUUAACCACAGAAACAAAAGGUUGUGCCUCUGAGACACAAAACAAAGAAGAAACAGAGAGAAGAAACCAGAUUCAGAGAGAAAAAAGUGAAUGAAGCAGAAGAAGAAGCAGCCAUGGCUAUGUUUUCUUUGUGUUUGUUUGGUUGGGUUUCAUCAGAGAAUUCAGCUGGUAUUGUUAAAGCGAAUUCGUGCUGAUAACGUGUUAUAAAACUGGAGAGAAAUUGAUGAGAGAAAAGAGAUGGAGGAAACAGAGGAAAAACAUCUGCAAUUGAUUCAUUAUUUCCGUCUGUCUUUCUAACAUUUAAUAGGAAAAACUUUCUUCCAACAUGUGGGCCCCCUUCCAACAUGUGGGCCCCCUUCCAACAUGUGGGCUCCAGACUUGAUUAUUUACAACAAAAACUAGAUAGUUAAACAAUUUUUUAUGAAUCUUCUGAGCAAUGUUUAUGAUACGAUUGGUUGACCUUGACCUUACUAAACCUAUGCACUAAUUCAGCACUGGUUAUCCUUCUUGCACAUUCCAAGUUGAUCACAACAAGCCUUUAGAAUAAUGAAGUCUGCAGAUCAAUGAAUAAUUCUUAUGAAGUGAUUAAUCUAGCUAGUCAAGUAUGGAUUAUAAGUUAUAUGAGAAGAGCACAUGCAUGUUGGGGCCUUGAAAUUUGGAUAAUUAAUUUAAUUAAAUGGACUAAAGGUUAAUUAAUCAAAGUUUAUUCACCAAGUCUUUGAAAAAAAAGGGUCGCUUGCUUGGGAAGUGAGUGAGAAAUUUAAUAGACUCCACGGAUGAUUUUAUAAAGGGUUUGGAUAGUGCUCAAGGAAUGUGUGGUACAGCAUGUAGAGUGUGGGGGCCCAGAUGCUUGAUCGAAAGAAAAAUAAAAAGAUCCGAGCACGUAUGGUCAAAAUCUAUCUUGUCUUUACCACGAGUCAUUUUCCUUGAGGGGGCGGAGCGUAUACGAAAUGAAGCAGCAGCUAGCACGCUAAGAUCAACCACUUGGAGAAGGUGAAGCCUUUUAAGUGUGGGUGGUGAAGAAAAAUGGUAAGGAUUCUUAAUUUUCCAAUGGACAUGAUCUUCUUGUUCAGCCAAAUUAAUAUUGCGCUCAUAGUGCUUAUGUGCAAUAUGGGACCGAUAUCAUCAAGAGCACAGCCACAGAACAUGACUCUUCCACAUGAUGAGGGUAGGCUGCUGCUGCGGCUGCUGCUUUCUAAAUGUAGUUUUUGUUUUUUGUUUUUAAAUAAAUAAAUUAGAAGGAACAUUUGAUGGGAUUUUUGCUUUAUGCGGGUGUAAUGGCAGUUGAAGCCCUUCGUGAAAUAGCUGCACAACUGCAUAAAAAGGACUGGAAUUUCAGCGACCCGUGUAGCAAUGUUCCAACUUUCUCAACCCCACAUACAGAUCAGUACAACAACACUCUCUUCUGCAAUUGCUCCUUCCCUGGCAAUGUGUGCCAUGUCCAAAGCAUGUAUGCAUAUAUUUUUGCCAUUUGUAUGCUUUAAAUUCUUGCAGCACCGGUUCAUUCAUAAAUUCAUUUUCCUAAUUAAAUAUGAUGGUUGCUGGUUACUGUUUGGAGUGAUUAGUCAAGAAUCAACCUUUGAUUUUUUGGAUCCUUGUUGUGCAGUUUUCUUAUGGGGCAGGAACUGGAUGGUGUGCUUCCACCAGCACUGGUGAAGCUACCUUACAUUAAGCAACUGUAUGAAGAGCAGAGAUUUUCAAUAACUGCUUUAGCUUUUACCAUCUCAAAUCUAUUGGUUUUUAUCCUAAUUAAUAGGACUCUUUCUUCUUUGCUCAUAGUAAUCUGGACCAGAAUUACCUUAGUGGUCCGAUACCAAGCAAAUGGACUUCUACGAAGUUGGAAUUUCUG
This 15700-nucleotide long non-coding RNA is filed under the name Prunus dulcis (almond). Its description in RNAcentral is "sRNA ncRNA". The record is from RNAcentral. Lineage: Eukaryota; Viridiplantae; Streptophyta; Magnoliopsida; Rosales; Rosaceae.